This 253-nucleotide ribosomal RNA is filed under the name uncultured bacterium. RNAcentral's name for it is "partial 16S ribosomal RNA". It matches the Rfam family "Bacterial small subunit ribosomal RNA", at positions 524 to 776 of the family's 1533-position model. The record is from RNAcentral.
GACGGAGGAUGCAAGUGUUAUCCGGAAUUACUGGGCGUAAAGCGUGCGCAGGCGGUUUUGUAAGUCUGUCGUGAAAUCCCCGGGCUCAACCUGGGAAUGGCGAUGGAGACUGCAAGGCUGGAAUCUGGCAGAGGGGGGUAGAAUUCCACGUGUAGCAGUGAAAUGCGUAGAUAUGUGGAGGAACACCGAUGGCGAAGGCAGCCCCCUGGGCUAAGAUUGACGCUCAUGCACGAAAGCGUGGGGAGCAAACAGG